This 884-nucleotide long non-coding RNA is filed under the name Pan troglodytes (chimpanzee). Its description in RNAcentral is "long non-coding RNA NONPTRT014695". The record is from RNAcentral. Lineage: Eukaryota; Metazoa; Chordata; Mammalia; Primates; Hominidae.
AAGAAAAGCAUGCAUUCUUCAGCACAUAAUUGUUCUUAGCUGUGUACUUAGUACAUGUGCAAAGAUACUGGUUAAAGUUUAUUCAUAAUAAAAUUGGAAACAUACUAACUAUAAUAUAAUAACAAUUACCUACACACAUAUGACAUGUAAUCACAAUCACAAAAGAUGACAGUUGUGGAUUUUCAUGGAAAGAUGUCAUAUAACAAUAUCAUAUAUAGUAUGAUGUCAGUUUUACAUAGUACCUGGCACAUAUUAGGUAUUCAAUAAUAUUUACUUAUUGAUGAGUAAAAACAGCAAAACCUUUAUUGUAUUAAAAAAAACAAAAGACAUUGUUUUUCGAACAUAAGGUUCCCUUGCUAUGACACCCUAGUUUUCUUUUCCAGAGAACAAGUUUUUGGUCUUUGUAUGUGUGUGUGUAUGUGUGUGUGUGUGUGCAUCUUAACUUCAGGAAAUUCACAAGUAAAGCGUUCCGUAUUUAUUCUCAUGCAGAAUAAAUUUUUAGGCACUAGUUUUAUCUAUAAUAUCUAGUUUGUUUGAUCUCCAGAAGUGGACAUAUUCUUUCUGUCUCUUUGCCAGUUUCCUUUCAUGAACUCAAUCCCAUUUAAAAAAACUUCUUGUUUCAUUGAUUUUUUUUGUGUUGUUUUUUAAUUUCAAUUUUAUUUAUUUCUGCUCUCAUCUUUAUUAUUAUUUUUUCUUCUAGUUUCCAAAAUUUCUCUUGUUAUUAAUUUCUAGUUUUAUUACAUUGUGGUCAGAGAAGAUAAUAUUAAUAUUAUUUUACUUUUUGAAUGUUUUAGGAACUUGUUUUGUCACCUAACAUAUGGUCUACCUUGCAAAUGAUAUAUGUGCUAAGGAAGAGUAUGUAUUCUGCAGCUGUUGGAUGAAAU